RNAcentral lists this ribosomal RNA (496 nucleotides) under uncultured bacterium. RNAcentral describes it as "partial 16S ribosomal RNA". It matches the Rfam family "Bacterial small subunit ribosomal RNA", at positions 29 to 507 of the family's 1533-position model. The record is from RNAcentral.
AUGAACGCUGGCGGCGUGCCUAAUACAUGCAAGUCGAGCGAACAGACGAGGAGCUUGCUCCUCUGACGUUAGCGGCGGACGGGUGAGUAACACGUGGAUAACCUACCUAUAAGACUGGGAUAACUUCGGGAAACCGGAGCUAAUACCGGAUAAUAUAUUGAACCGCAUGGUUCAAUAGUGAAAGACGGUUUUGCUGUCACUUAUAGAUGGAUCCGCGCCGCAUUAGCUAGUUGGUAAGGUAACGGCUUACCAAGGCGACGAUGCGUAGCCGACCUGAGAGGGUGAUCGGCCACACUGGAACUGAGACACGGUCCAGACUCCUACGGGAGGCAGCAGUAGGGAAUCUUCCGCAAUGGGCGGAAGCCUGACGGAGCAACGCCGCGUGAGUGAUGAAGGUCUUCGGAUCGUAAAACUCUGUUAUUAGGGAAGAACAAAUGUGUAAGUAACUAUGCACGUCUUGACGGUACCUAAUCAGAAAGCCACGGCUAACUACGUG